GUUUGAGUUAAUCUAUGCUAUUAGGUGGAUGACUUGGCUCUGACGCCGAUGAAGGAUGUGACAAGCAGCAAUAUGCCUUGGCGAGACGCAUGUAGUCUUUGAACCAAGGAUUUCCGAAUGCUACUUAGUGCAAAAUCAGUAAUGAUGGGGAACGCAGGGAAUUGAAGCGUCUUAGUACCUGCAGGAAAAGAAAUCAAUAGAGAUGCUGUUAGUAAGAGCGACUGAAAGCAGUAUAAGGCAAACUGAACCCUACCAGUAAUGGCAAGGGGAUGUGGUGUUAAAGACAUUCUUUUAGUCCGAUCUCAGUUGUUAGUAGAAGUUUUCUGGAAAGAAGCACCGUAGAGGGUGAAAGUCCCGUAUAAAAACCUGGGAGGAUGUGAGUGUAUCUUGAGUAUGGUCCGCCGAAUACCGGAUCAGAAUUUGGGAGUCAUCAACUUCCAACCUUAAAUACGUUCAGAGUCCGAUAGAGAAUAAGUACCGUGAGGGAAAGUUGAAAAGUACCCUUAACAGGAAGCGAAAAGACCUGAAACCUAAUAGCGAUCGUGGAAUGCAGCUUUUAGGAGUUGCAUUGUCCGUUUUGAAUAACGUGCCAGGGAGUGCGCCAUGAGUGGCAAGACUAAUACUAAAGAAGGAGUCGAAGGGAAACCAACAAGCCCGCAGGAAACGAGGGGCGUGGUAUGAAAAUGCCAGUAGUCACUUGUGCGCGACCCGAAGCCGUUCGAUCUAUCCCUGGGUAGGGUGAAAUGUGGGUAAAACCGCAUGGAGGCCCGCAGAGGUGCUACGAGCAAGUGUUCUUCUAACUUGGGGAUAGGGGUAAAAAGCCAAUCGAGAACGGCGAUAGCUGGUUCCUGCCGAAAUUGGCCGUAGUCAAGUCUUGGAUGAGAUUGUUAGAGAGGUAGAGAUACUGAUUUGGGGUACAGGCUCCGAAAGGGGUCGGCUCCUUGUCAAACUCCGAAUAUUCUGACGUCGUAGAUUCCGGGAAACGGGUGCUCGGGGUAAACUUGAGUACCGAGAGGGGAACAACCCAAACUACAGUUAAGGUCCCAAAAUAUUGAUUAAGUGUGAAAGGGUGAAAAGUGUCUAUAACCCAAAACAGCGAGGAGGUUGGCUUAGAAGCAGCCACCCUUUAAAAAGUGCGUAACAGCUUACUUGUCUAGGUUAUAGGCCUUGAAAAUGGACGGGGCUAAAUCAAUUACCGAUACUGUUGACAUCCGAAAGGAUUGUGGUAGGCAGGCGUUCUGUUUGGGCAGAAGCUUUUUCGAAAGAAGAAGUGAACCAAAUAGAAAUGAGAAUCCUGGUGAUAGUAGGAUCAGAGCGGUGUGAGAAUCACCGCCACCGAAAGGGCAAGGGUUCCUUGACAAUGCAGUUCAGUCAAGGGUUAGUCAGUCCUAACUGGCCUCCUAACUGGAGGAACCGGGAAAGGGAAAAUGGUUAAUAUUCCAUUACUGCUUAAGUAUGUGCGGUAACGCAAGUCGCGUUUCUGACACUUGGGGCUAAGUUGACGUAGAUUGUCUUCUGCGCUAAUAGGGACAAAUCAGAGGAGUUUUGUAAUGAAGAGAACCUGAUUAAAUUCUAGAAUGGUAGACCGUAUGGUUUAUUCAGCUGAUGCCUUGAGGCCGUGAAAAAGGAACACGAAAAAAUCUUAAGUGUCUGUACCAAGAACCAGCACUGGUGCCCCUAGGUUAGUAGCCUAAGGUGUGAAGGAUUAACUCGAUCGAGGGAACUCGGCAUAUUGGCCCCGUGUCUUAGGUAUAAGGGGUCCCUGCGAUUGUAUUCUUAUGAGUGCAAUUACAGGGUUCAAUAACUAGGGAGGUCCGACUGUUUAACAAAAACGUAACCUCCUGCUAACCCGUAAGGGCUUGUACAGAAGGUGACGUCUGCCCAGUACAGGUAUCUAAAACUCCUUUUCAAGGGAGCUAAGGACCUGCAAACGGCGGGGGUAACUAUAACUCUCUUAAGGUAGCGAAAUACCUUGUCGUUUGAUUGACGACUUGCAUGAAUGGCGUAACGAGAUCUCCACUGUCCCCGAUCGAAGUCCUCCGAAUGUUCUUUACUGGUGCAAAGGCCAGUGAUCUCCAGUGGGAAGCGAAGACCCCGUGAAACUUUACUGUAUCCUGUUGUUGUGAUGUGAAAGUUGCUGUAGAGCGUAGGUGGGAGUUGUUAAAGCUUAGUCGCCAGAUUAAGUGUAGACGCAAAUGUAACACCACCCUGCGAUUUUUACAUUGCUUACCGAUAGCAAUAUUGGGACAUCUGCAGGUGGACAGUUUGGCUGGGGCGGCACCCUGUUGAAAAGAUAUCAAUAGGGCCCAAAGGUUGACUCAAACGGGUCAGAAAUCCGUAGUAGAGUGCAAAGGCAAAAGUCAGCCUGACUGUAUUCUUAACAAGAUAGAAUCCAGAGACGAAAGUCGGGCUUAGCGAACCCCUAUGUCCUCAUUGAUGGGGGCUAGGUAUGACCGAAAAGUUACUCCGGGGAUAACAGAGUUGUCGCGCCCGAGAGCUCACAUUGAAUUUAGUUUCGAAAGAGAUUAUUUUCAGAGUUUAUCGACGGCGCGGCUUGCUACAUCGAUGUCGGCUCAUCCUAUCCUGGUCGUGCAGAAGCGACCAAGGGUGAAGGUGUUCACUUAUUAAAAGGGUUCGUGAGCUGGGUUCAGAACGCUGUGAGGCAGUUUGUUUGAUAUCUACUGGGGAUGUUGGUGUCUGAAGAGAAGGACCUUCUAGUACGAGAGGAACGAAGUGUUCGAGGCCACUGGUCAACCGGUUAUCCGACAGGGUAAGCCGGGCAGCUACGCCUUAAGGGAUAAGAGCUGAAAGCAUCUAAGUUCGAAGCCCCCUUUGAAAAGAGACACCAUUGGAACGCGAAAAGAAGAUUCGCUUGAUGGAGUCGGUGUGUAAGCACGAAGGUAACGACGUGUUCAGCAUGCGACCCCCAACGUGUCCUUUAACUCAAAU
This 2949-nucleotide ribosomal RNA is filed under the name Nanobdellota archaeon. RNAcentral's name for it is "23S ribosomal RNA". It matches the Rfam family "Archaeal large subunit ribosomal RNA". The record is from RNAcentral. Lineage: Archaea; Nanobdellati; Nanobdellota.